Ailuropoda melanoleuca (giant panda) is the source of this 4650-nucleotide long non-coding RNA. RefSeq lists it as uncharacterized. The transcript has 4 exons. NCBI's taxonomy places the organism in Eukaryota, Metazoa, Chordata, Mammalia, Carnivora, Ursidae. The record is from RefSeq and is a predicted model, not a curated record.
UCGGCACUGACCGCUCUGCCACCGGAUCUCUCAGCUCGGCCUGCGAGGCAGCCUCCGUAGAGAUUCCGAGCACAGACUCUGGGACGAGGCUGCCCGGGUUUGAACCCAGGUUCCGCCACUUACCGGCUGUGCACCGUGGGGCAGGCUGUAACGAGCCCUAUACCCACCCCUCCCAGGGUGCUGCGAGAAUUAAGUGAAUAAAUCGACACGAAGCGGACGCGUUCAGUUCGGGCUGUGUGUUCCCGGCUCUUGUCAAUGCGCCGUCGGCGCGGCACUCGUGUGGACGCGUCCCGCGUGGGGCCGGGCGGUGUCGGCGGUGGGGUUCGGAAGCCGGGCGUGCUGCAGCCGUCGGGGCUGCGGGCGGUGGUCCGUGCGGCCGACUCGGCCGCGGGAGCUGAGGGGCAGUGAGCAGCGGACAGGGCGGCAGUCGGCUCUACUCUGCGCUCGGAGGCACAGGGCGAGAGAAGGCUGUUACCAGAGAGGGCCGCCUGUAGCUCAUUACAGUGCGGAGUUUACAGAAGAUGCCAGAGAAGUUAGGAGGAGGGAGAGCUUGGGUGUCUAGCCCGGUGGCUCCCCGUCCAGCCUGUGGCCUGGGGUCAAGCUUCCACCGGCUCAGGCCUAAAGAAAACCGCGUUUGAACGAGCUUCCUGUGUGUGCCGGGCACUGGCCUAAAGCUUUAUGUAUUCGUCCGUUACCCUCAUAAUCCUGGAGGUGGGUUUCAUGCCGGUUUCAUAAGAAAAAGACAUUUUAAAGUCCGGCUUCUUGGUUCCUUUUCUAGAUACAAUUCUAGACAUUGAAAAGUACAUCUUGAAAAGGCCUAGAAAGAAUGCGGUGUAUCGUUAUUCUGACAUUACAUGUAGAAAAUCGCAGGCCAGGGGGAGGUGACUUACCCACAACCCCGUCCCUAGGAAGUCGGGGGCCAGGAUCCCUGUCUGCAGCCGGGCUGGCAGCCCUGCGCUCCUGGCCACAGCUCUUGUCAGCUUUUCCACAACGCUGCAUUUGCUCAACAGACACAACUGUUCAAAGGACUUUUCUAAAAUUACAUUAGAGGACAGUUGCUUUUUAAAAGAAUAAAAAAUUGGCAGCCUCUGCCCUUCCUUGUCCAUAAAAUUCAAGAUAUCCCUUUUUAUUUUAUAGAUAAGAAACUAAGACACCGGGAGAGAUAGCUUACCUAUGCAUUUUUCAUCCAGGCAUUCUGAUCAUUUUUCCACUGGUUUUAUUGGAUCUUGGAAAAUGGGCAAAGGGAAGGUCUUUCAUCCACACUUCUGCUGUUGCCCUGCAGCGCGCACACCCUGGCCGAGGCUGGGAGAAGUGAACCGCGUUGUUGUAAUUCAGUAGUUCCCCACAGUUCCCACAAAAUGCCCAGAUGGGCUGUGGGCCAUACAAGGCAUCUGCGGGUGUCAUUUCUAAUCACUCACUGUGUAUUGUAUUUCAGAGUUUGGUCUAUAUUUUAAAUUGAAAUCUAGACCCUGCCACACAUUCAUAAUUUCAGAACUGAAGGUAUUUUUAAAGACCUAGCCCCCGUCCCCUGCGUGGGCCUGCCUCAGUGGACCCGUGCACUCAGCCUCUGACCCUGUGGGCUGUUGCACCUUCCUGCAGGCGUUCCUUUGGGGGACAUCGUGUUGUUGUUGUUGCAGGUUAGACCCGCAGCUGAAACAACUACAAAUAAAAUAUGAUGAACUUAAGGAGAGAAGAGCUUCCCUGAGGAAUGCAGCGUGUUUCUUAUCGAACCUAAAACAGCUUCAUCAAGAUUAUUUGGAUAUUCAAGAGAAAGAACCUUAUGUAAAGGAAACGUAUGAUUCAUCCAGCCUUCCAGCUCUGUUACUCAAAGCGAGAACCCUUCUGGGAGCUGGAAACCACCUACAAAAUAUCAACCAUCAAUUAGAGAAGCUCCUGGACCAGAAAGACCGGUCUACUGGAACGUGACUCUACACAGACCAGUCCCCUGCUCCUGCUGUUGCCUCUGACACUGUCCUUUUGUAAAUAAACAUGGAGACGUUAGACUUGUCUUGUACCUCAGGCUGGCUUGUCACCAAACUUUACUAUUACUUUGUUCGUGGUCCGUUGGUUUGAGUGACCACGUUAAGCAGCAAGUUUGAUUGUAUAAGUGGUCUCAGAGGCCACGUUCCAGACGCUAACCGACCAGACGCUGACCGACAAGAGUUCUAACCUGAAUCGGCAGAGGGCGGCGUUCUGAGACGGCACAGAAAGACCCUGAACUCGCCGAAUGUACAGCAGUUCCCCCUGCAGAACACCCAAGGCCUGACGGAAGCGCCGCUGCACAGACGCCGGGGGACCCCACGGUGAGAGAUGGACGCGCGGUGACGGUGGGAACCCCUAGCCUGAAGUGAUGGCCCGCAGCAGGAGGACGAACACUGAGGGGCCUACAUGCCGACUUGCCAGCCCGGGGCGCACAGCAAAAAAAAAAAAAAAAUCCAAAACCAAAAUAUCAGUCUGAAGGACAAAGAGACUUGUUACUAAACCGUCUUCAGGCCAAAUCACAGCCGGUUACGUAAGAGUCCGCGGCUAAUGAGCUACUCUUGUAAUACCUGCGUGAUCGGUUCAUCGGGGACCAGCGUCUCCGCCGCAGUACCGAGCAGACCGCACUCUGCAGCUUCGGCCAGUUCGGCAUCUUCAGCAGCUUCCACAAAGUCAGCCUCGUCAAGGCCACUGUCCCAGGCGGCAUCGGAAAUGGCAUCUUUUGACGACAGACCCGAUGGCGGCUCAUGAGGAUUCUGGGUGUCACUGUUCAUGGUUUCAGCUGCCGUGAACUCUUCUUCCUUUGGUUGGAAAGGGGAAGGUGGGGGAGAGUGUGAAAGGGAGAAAAUACAGGUCGGUCAAGGAGAAUAUGUGCUGCUCUCACUCGACAGUCUAUGUUAAAUUAAGGUACUCGGUAUAAGAUCAGUUCUUGCACAGACACUAAAUAUUCUGGAUGAUACUGUCUCUAAGACAGUCGCCAUGGGAAUGAGUUCAUUGAUUCAAAUGUUGCUGCCACCGUAGCUCAGAUACUCGAAACUCUAAAUCUGGAAAUGCCCCCCACCCCAGUACGUUUUUUUCAAUAUACACAGAUGGGGCUAGAUGGGUAGAUUGAAUUUUUUAUAAAGCAGAUAAUCCAGCUGAAGGCAAACUGGAAAGUCUAUCUGCAAUCUUAAAAGGCUGAUUUUUCUAUUUAUAAAAUAUUUUAAGAAUAACAUGAAUUUAAAAACUGUUAAAAACAGUUGAGACAACUGGCAAGAUAGUAUGGAUUUGCAUAUUAGAUAACAGUAUUGUAUCAACAUUCAAUUUCCUGAAUUUUAAAAUUUUACCAUAUUCAUUUAAGAAUAUCCUUAAGCUAAAUAUCUCUAGCUACAUGCUUAAACGUGAAGAGAUGUAGGGUUCUGAUGGCUGCAAAUUCCCCUCAAGAGAUUUGUGAUGGACUGAAUGUAUUACCCCACAUUCCUGAGUUGAAAUCUUAACCCCCGAUGUCAUGGUAUUAGGAAGGACGCUGUUGGGAGGCGAUUAGGUCUUGAGGGUACAGCCCUCAUGACUGGGAUCAGUAACCUUAUAAAAGGGACCCCAGAGACCUCCUUCAUCCCUGUGACGGAGGGUGGGGGUGGGGGGGGCGGCGAGAAGAUGGCUAUGACCCAGACAGCGACCGGGCACCAGAUCGGCCAGUGCCCUGAGCUCAGACUUCCAGCCGCAGAACUGUGAGAAAGGAACUUCUGUGGUUCAUAAGCCAUCCAGUGUAUGGUAUCGUGUUAUAGCAGCCUGAAUGGACUAAAACAAAAAGUCAUCCAAAAAUAACAACGUGCGCCCGAACAGCAGAGGGAGAAAACAAACAUGGCCAAGUGUUGACGAUGGCAAAUCUAGGUGAAUGGAGAGCGUGCUGUCCUUGGACAAUAUUUCUAUAGGGGGAAAAUACCAGAAAUGUUUAAAAAACUAAGAUGAUCAAUGCAACAGAAAAACAGGUAACUAACACUGACUGGUAAUUCAUUUUAAAAUACUAAAAGCAAAAAAGCCAGAGGAAGCAGAAAUGCAAAAUAUAAACUGUUAAAACGAUGUGACAGGUACAUGGGAAUUCAUUAAGCUGUUCCAUCUUUUAUUAAUUUUCUACUUUAAAUAAUAAAAAAAAGUUCUGUCCGAGCAGCGGUAAUACAACAUACCAAAAUACUUUCAACUUGGCAUUACUGGAUAAGCAGAAAAAGCCAUUUUUAAAAAUUCACUGACACCACAAAAACAUGCAUCAAAAUCAGCCUCCAAACACACAAGGAUGACAUACACCUCCUCUUAGAGGCAAAGUUUAUUUAAAAGAUUUAAUUUUCUCUUGGGUAUUUCAGGAACAUUUUAACCUAAUAGUGUACCAGGGAAGCUGGCUGUCAGCUACGUUGGUCCAGCUCCUGUCUAUCUUAGAUGUAUGAAUUUUUUCCAGAGACAGUUUUCGGUCCAAUCGAAUGGGUAGCAGACCAUUAUCUAGAAUGUAGACUGAGCACUUAGCCUGUAGCACGUAACUUUCAUUCUAACCAGAACACUAGAAAGGAAAAGGCUGAUAGAUGUGGGAAAAAAGAACACUAAAAUGUUCAUUCUAGAAAAUAACCUGAUCAAAGAGUUAAUAAAAAGUUCCCGUAAAAUAUCAAUAAGACCUCAGAGAAAAGUGGACAGAGGUCAGCCACU